RNAcentral lists this ribosomal RNA (800 nucleotides) under Brachyglottis greyi. Its description in RNAcentral is "eukaryotic LSU rRNA". The stretch from base 370 to 525 matches the Rfam family "5.8S ribosomal RNA". The record is from RNAcentral. Lineage: Eukaryota; Viridiplantae; Streptophyta; Magnoliopsida; Asterales; Asteraceae.
GGCGGUUCGCCGCCGGCGACGUCGCGAGAAUUCCACUGAACCUUAUCAUUUAGAGGAAGGAGAAGUCGUAACAAGGUUUCCGUAGGUGAACCUGCGGAAGGAUCAUUGUCGAAACCUGCAUAGCAGAACGACCCGUGAACAUGUAACAACAACCGGGUGUCCUUGGUAUCGGACUCUUGUCUGAUUCUUUGGAUGCCUCGUCGAUGUGCGUCUUUGGCCUGCCCCUUGGGUUCCAAUUACGUCACGUUGGCACAACAACAACCCCCCGGCACGGCAUGUGCCAAGGAAAUUUAAACAUAAGAAGGGCUCGUACCAUGCAUCCCCGUUCGCGGGGUUUGCGUGGGAUGUGGCUUCUUUAUAAUCACAAACGACUCUCGGCAACGGAUAUCUCGGCUCACGCAUCGAUGAAGAACGUAGCAAAAUGCGAUACUUGGUGUGAAUUGCAGAAUCCCGUGAACCAUCGAGUUUUUGAACGCAAGUUGCGCCCGAAGCCUUUUGGUCGAGGGCACGUCUGCCUGGGCGUCACACAUCGCGUCGCCCCCACCAUUCCUCUCUGAUCGGGAUGAUGGGAAGGGGGCGGAUAUUGGUCUCCCGUUCCUACGGUGCGGUUGGCUAAAAUAGGAGUCCCCUUCGACGGACGCACGACUAGUGGUGGUUGACAAGACCCUCUUAUCGAGUCGUGCGUUCUCAGGAGUAAGGAAGAUCUCUUAAAAAACCCAAAGGUGUUGUCUUAUGAUGAUGCUUCGACCGCGACCCCAGGUCAGGCGGGACUACCCGCUGAGUUUAAGCAUAUCAAUAAG